UCCGGUUUGUCACCGGCAGUCUCCUUAGAGUUCCCACCAUCACGUGCUGGCAACUAAGGACAAGGGUUGCGCUCGUUACGGGACUUAACCCAACAUCUCACGACACGAGCUGACGACAGCCAUGCAGCACCUGUCUCAGAGCUCCCGAAGGCACCAAGGCAUCUCUGCCAAGUUCUCUGGAUGUCAAGACCUGGUAAGGUUCUUCGCGUUGCAUCGAAUUAAACCACAUGCUCCACCGCUUGUGCGGGCCCCCGUCAAUUCAUUUGAGUUUUAACCUUGCGGCCGUACUCCCCAGGCGGUCUACUUAAAGCGUUAGCUGCGCCACUAAGAAAUCAAGUCUCCCAACGGCUAGUAGACAUCGUUUACGGCGUGGACUAC
Molecule: unclassified non-coding RNA, 378 nt
Filed under: uncultured Halieaceae bacterium
Lineage: Bacteria; Pseudomonadati; Pseudomonadota; Gammaproteobacteria; Cellvibrionales; Halieaceae
Description: contains 16S-23S intergenic spacer region
Source: RNAcentral